This 78-nucleotide transfer RNA is filed under the name Candidatus Bathyarchaeota archaeon. Its description in RNAcentral is "tRNA-Gly". It matches the Rfam family "tRNA". Rfam says of the family: Transfer RNA (tRNA) molecules are approximately 80 nucleotides in length. Their secondary structure includes four short double-helical elements and three loops (D, anti-codon, and T loops). RNAcentral also lists the same sequence under 1 other name. The record is from RNAcentral. Lineage: Archaea; Thermoproteati; Candidatus Bathyarchaeota.
GCGGCCGUGGUCUAGCCUGGUCCAGGACGGGAGCUUCCCAAGCUCUUAACCCGGGUCCGAAUCCCGGCGGCCGCACCA